RNAcentral lists this ribosomal RNA (498 nucleotides) under uncultured bacterium. RNAcentral's name for it is "partial 16S ribosomal RNA". It matches the Rfam family "Bacterial small subunit ribosomal RNA", at positions 29 to 523 of the family's 1533-position model. The record is from RNAcentral.
AUUGAACGCUGGCGGCAUGCCUUACACAUGCAAGUCGAACGGUAACGGGCCUUCGGGUGCCGACGAGAGGCGAACGGGUGAGUAAUACAUCGGAACGUGCCCGAUCGUGGGGGAUAACGAGGCGAAAGCUUUGCUAAUACCGCAUACGAUCUACGGAUGAAAGCAGGGGACCGCAAGGCCUUGCGCGGACGGAGCGGCCGAUGGCAGAUUAGGUAGGUGGUGGGAUAAAAGCUUACCAAGACGACGAUCUGUAGCUGGUAUGAGAGGAUGAUCAGCCACACGGGGACUGUGAGACGGCCCCGGCUCCUACGGGGGGCAGCAGUGGGGAAUUUUGGACAAUGGGCGCAAGCCUGAUCCAGCCAGGCCGCGUGCAGGAUGAAGGCCUUCGGGUUGUAAAGUGCUUUUGUACGGAACGAAAAGCCUUCGUCUAAUACAGGAGGGUCAUGACGGUACCGUAAGAAUAAGCACCGGCUAACUACGUGCCAGCAGCCGCGGUAA